Molecule: transfer RNA, 71 nt
Filed under: Oenomys hypoxanthus (rufous-nosed rat)
Lineage: Eukaryota; Metazoa; Chordata; Mammalia; Rodentia; Muridae
Description: tRNA-Gln
Rfam family: tRNA
About the family: Transfer RNA (tRNA) molecules are approximately 80 nucleotides in length. Their secondary structure includes four short double-helical elements and three loops (D, anti-codon, and T loops).
Source: RNAcentral
UAGGAUGGGGUGUUUGGGUAGCACGGAGAAUUUUGAAUUCUUAAGGGUAGGUUCGAUUCCUAUCAUCCUAG